Molecule: ribosomal RNA, 512 nt
Filed under: uncultured bacterium
Lineage: Bacteria
Description: partial 16S ribosomal RNA
Rfam family: Bacterial small subunit ribosomal RNA
Source: RNAcentral
GACGAACGCUGGCGGCGUGCCUAAUACAUGCAAGUCGAGCGGAACUGGGGGAGCUUGCUCCUUCCAGUUUAGCGGCGGACGGGCGAGUAACACGUGGGCAACCUGCCCUGCAGAUCGGGAUAACUCCGGGAAACCGGUGCUAAUACCGAAUAGUUUGGCGCCUCUCCUGAGGCGCUACGGAAAGACGGUUUCGGCUGUCACUGCAGGAUGGGCCCGCGGCGCAUUAGCUAGUUGGUGGGGUAACGGCCCACCAAGGCGACGAUGCGUAGCCGACCUGGGAGGGGGACCGGCCACACUGGGACUGAGACACGGCCCAGACUCCUACGGGAGGCAGCAGUAGGGAAUCUUCCGCAAUGGACGCAAGUCUGACGGAGCAACGCCGCGUGAGUGACGAAGGUUUUCGGAUCGUAAAACUCUGUUGUGAGGGAAGAACACGUACCAACUAACUAUUGGUACCUUGACGGUACCUCGCCAGAAAGCCACGGCUAACUACGUGCCAGCAGCCGCGGUAA